CAUGUAACUCUUGCAGUUAUCUUUUCAAUCAGUGGUGAGUAGUGAUGUAUAGCAAGUUUUUUAGAGCUGAGAGGAAUCCCCAGAUACUUAAAAGGAAGCUGACCCUCAAUGAACCCCCAACUUCUUCAUGAUUUCAUCUCGAACAGAUUGUUGUACACCAGCCAAAUAAGCAGCACUCUUGUUGAUGUUUGCUUUCAAGCCAGAAGCUUCAGAAAACUUGUGGAAGGCCUCUUGUAAAAUCUAAAUAGAAAUCCUAUCAGCUCGGCAAAACAUGAGAAGAUCAUCAGCAAAACAAAUAUGCACACAGUUAAGCUUGAAACUUGUGGAAGGCCUCUUGUAAAAUCUGAAUAGAAAUCCUAUCAGCUCGGAAAAACAUCAGAAGAUCAUCAGCAAAACAAAUAUGCACACAGUUAAGCUUUCUACACUUAGGAUGGAAAUUGAAAUCUCCAUUCAUGUGUAACUGGUGCAGUAUCAUUUAAGUACUCCAUUGCAAGAACAAAUAAAUAAGGAGACAUAGGAUCUCUCUGUCUAAUACCCCUCCUUGCAGUGAAAGGUUUAGUGAGGCCCUCAUUCAGCACCAAGGAGUAUGAGACAGAAGUUACACAUGCCAUUAUCCAAUUAAGGAAUUUUGUUGGGAAUCCAAUUUCAAUAAGGACCUGCUUAAGGAAGCCCCAUUCUAGAGUAUCAUAGGCCUUUCUUAAGUCCACCUUAAGGACACAUCUAGGGGAUACAACUUUCCUUGUAUAUCCCUUGAAAAUUUCAUGACUGAGCAGUAUAUUAUCAAUGAUUCUCCUUCCUUCAAUAAAUGCUGACUGGGCCUGGCCAACUAUACUGCCAAUAACAGUUUUCAUCCUUUUUGUAAUUAUCUUGGAAAUGAUUUUGUACACAGUUGUACAGCAGGCAAUAGGUCUAUAAUCUUUUACAGUUGUAGGAGUAUUGACUUUAGGCACAAGUGCAAUAGCUGUAGUAUUUAUCAUGUUAGGCAGAUUGCACGUAGUAAAGAAAUCCAUAGUAGCAGCAAUUAUGUAUUCUUGUACUAUCCCCCAGUUACUAGUGAAGAACUCCACUGGAAAACCAUCCACACCUGGUGCUUUAUCCCUUGGCAUCUCCUUGAUAGCUUCUGUGAUCUCCUCCACUAUAACUUCUUGGAUUAAUCUUCUUUGUUGUGAUACAAUAAGAUAAGGGCCUUCCUUCA
Molecule: long non-coding RNA, 1195 nt
Filed under: Nicotiana benthamiana
Lineage: Eukaryota; Viridiplantae; Streptophyta; Magnoliopsida; Solanales; Solanaceae
Description: long non-coding RNA (NBEN_LNC034609)
Source: RNAcentral